This 601-nucleotide ribosomal RNA is filed under the name Optioservus variabilis. Its description in RNAcentral is "SSU rRNA". It matches the Rfam family "Eukaryotic small subunit ribosomal RNA", at positions 22 to 602 of the family's 1831-position model. RNAcentral also lists the same sequence under 8 other names. The record is from RNAcentral. Lineage: Eukaryota; Metazoa; Arthropoda; Insecta; Coleoptera; Elmidae.
AGUCAUAUGCUUGUCUCAAAGAUUAAGCCAUGCAUGUCUCAGUACAAGCCGAAUUAAGGUGAAACCGCGAAAGGCUCAUUAAAUCAGUUAUGGUUCCUUAGAUCGUACCCACAUUUACUUGGAUAACUGUGGUAAUUCUAGAGCUAAUACAUGCAAACAGAGCUCCGACCGGAGACGGAAGGAGCGCUUUUAUUAGAUCAAAACCAAUCGGCGGCGGGCUCGCUCGUCGUCGUACACCUUGGUGAAUCUGAAUAACUUACUGCUGAUCGCAUGGUCUCGCACCGGCGACGCAUCUUUCAAAUGUCUGCCUUAUCAACUGUCGAUGGUAGGUUCUGCGCCUACCAUGGUUGUAACGGGUAACGGGGAAUCAGGGUUCGAUUCCGGAGAGGGAGCCUGAGAAACGGCUACCACAUCCAAGGAAGGCAGCAGGCGCGCAAAUUACCCACUCCCGGCACGGGGAGGUAGUGACGAAAAAUAACGAUACGGGACUCAUCCGAGGCCCCGUAAUCGGAAUGAGUACACUCUAAACCCUUUAACGAGGACCAAUUGGAGGGCAAGUCUGGUGCCAGCAGCCGCGGUAAUUCCAGCUCCAAUAGCGUAU